AUGGGGAGAGACUUGUCAGCCAUGUCUGUUUGUCGCUGCACUCUUUCCAAUAUGUCUAGGCACAGGCUAGAGGAGGUUUCAGCAACAUGGAGGCUACAAGCAGUCCCUCCCAAGGCAUGUCCAAAAACUAUGCCGCUAAUAAUUGCACUGCCAAAAGUACGGCAACUAGAAGAGCUCUCUUUAAAGCCUGGUUGGGACAACUGCGACUUUCCGGGUAUUGUUAGGCUACAACUUCUACCAGCCCUAGCUGGCAGAGCUGAUAAUGUGGGACUACGGCAGGUCCUAUCCAACAAUAUCUGGAAGGUCACCGUUGCCAUUCCUGUUUUAAAGCAAGCUUUAUACUCUCAUCAAACGGCUUGUAGUGAUUUACUGCUGAAUUUCAGUAGUAGUAUAAUGGCAGAGGGAUGUAGCCCACAGAGCCACAGUUGUCGUUGCCUUGUUUAUAGGUCAUGCAUCAACUCUCAACUCCUGUCUUGACACAUUUAAAAAUGAAUACCGGUUUAUUUCCUGUAAUAUAUUUAAAAGAUGAAUCAUAGCCGUAAUAUUGGAGUACUCCUUUGGUCCUAGUACUACUGCUUUGAGAGGGGUCUGAUCCUGUUGACCUGUAUGCUAGUUGGUAAGCUUGCUUCUGUUGUGUGGGUAAAGUGUCCACUACAGAGAAUAGGAGAAUAUGGUAACGCUGUCACAAUCAACAUGUUCCAAAUCAGGUACUUUUUCUUGCUCUCUGCACCAAUGGAAGAAUGUUGCUCCCUCCUCCACCAAAAACAUAUCCCUAAGUUCCUUAAAGUAGUCAUUCUGUCUUUCAAAUCUGCCUUACUAAAACAUUUGUGUAGAUUAGCCUUAACUGUAUAGUUUCUAACAGCAUUUUUCUUCACUUCAAAUACAUAGGAAGAAAGCUUCAGAAACCUACCAAUAUGUAACAAGGAAUAUAUUGCAAUGCUCUGAAGAUUUAUUUAGUGUUCUUCUGGACUCUAGUAAUAAGUAAGCAACACUAGUGCCUUGGGCUUUUUGUUCUGAAAUGACAGCUCUCUGAAGGAGAUGGUUGCCUAAAAGCAGUUAGUAUCACCAGGAGCGUCGGUAUCACCAACCUUGCCCAUCAUUACAUGUUAGGUUAAUGCAACCGAUAAUUCUUUUAAGCUUAUUAACAGUUGGUGUCAUUUUAGGUUAACUACCUACAUGAAGCAGCAGAGGGAUAUAACUUUCUCUUGUCUUGUAUAGUUUAAGUCCUUCUCUGUGCAGCUCCAACACUUUAUUCAAAACAACUACCUGUUCUGUUAGAUCCUCAGAAAAAUAGGAAUAUUCAGUGUAGCUGCCCUUACCCCUAUGGGCCUAUCUAUACCCACCAGUGCAGCUAUUUGCCUGCUUUCUCAUCAGGCCAAGUGAACAGAUCUUGUUUAGUAACACAGCUUUGCAGAUUGGUGCGUGACCCUAUGGACCAGAGCAUGACAGGCCCUCCUGUCUUCCACUGCCUCCCAGA
RNAcentral lists this long non-coding RNA (1477 nucleotides) under Pogona vitticeps (central bearded dragon). Its description in RNAcentral is "lncRNA (ENSPVIG00000021420.1)". Lineage: Eukaryota; Metazoa; Chordata; Lepidosauria; Squamata; Agamidae. The record is from RNAcentral.